RNAcentral lists this ribosomal RNA (497 nucleotides) under uncultured bacterium. RNAcentral's name for it is "partial 16S ribosomal RNA". It matches the Rfam family "Bacterial small subunit ribosomal RNA", at positions 28 to 507 of the family's 1533-position model. The record is from RNAcentral.
GAUGAACGCUGGCGGCGUGCCUAAUACAUGCAAGUCGAGCGAACAGACGAGGAGCUUGCUCUUCUGACGUUAGCGGCGGACGGGUGAGUAACACGUGGAUAACCUACCUAUAAGACUGGGAUAACUUCGGGAAACCGGAGCUAAUACCGGAUAAUAUUUUGAACCGCAUGGUUCAAUAGUGAAAGACGGUUUUGCUGUCACUUAUAGAUGGAUCCGCGCCGCAUUAGCUAUUUGGUAAGGUAACGGCUUACCAAGGCGACGAUGCGUAGCCGACCUGAGGGGGUGAUCGGCCAAACUGGAACUUAGACACGGUCCCGACUCCUACGGGAGGCAGCAGUAGGGAAUCUUCCGUAAUGGGCGAAAGCCUGACGGAGCAACGCCGCGUGAGUGAUAAAGGUCUUCGGAUCUUAAAACUCUGUUAUUGGGGAAGAACAAAUGUGUAAGUAACUAUGCACGGCUUGACGGUACCUAAUCAGAAAGCCACGGCUAACUACGUG